AAACUUGAGCUAAUACCGGAUACGCCCUUASGGGGAAAGAUUAUUGCCGAAGGAUYGGCCCGCGUCCGAUUAGCUAGUUGGUGAGGUAAUGGCUCACCAAGGCGACGAUCGGUAGCUGKUCUGAGAGGAUGAUCAGCCWCACUGGGAYUGAGACACGGCCCAGAYUCCUACGGGAGGCAGCAGUGGGGAAUAUUGGACAAUGGGCGCAAGCCUGAUCCAGCCAUSCCGCGUGAGUGAUGAAGGCCCUAGGGUUGUAAAGCUCUUUCRCCAGGGAMGAUAAUGACGGUACCUGGAUAAUAAGCCCCGGCUAACUUC
RNAcentral lists this ribosomal RNA (315 nucleotides) under uncultured Pseudomonadota bacterium. Its description in RNAcentral is "uncultured proteobacterium partial 16S ribosomal RNA". It matches the Rfam family "Bacterial small subunit ribosomal RNA", at positions 154 to 504 of the family's 1533-position model. Lineage: Bacteria; Pseudomonadati; Pseudomonadota. The record is from RNAcentral.